GCGCUGAUGGUUCAAAGGAAGAAUGCUCGCCUCCCACGCGCGGGAUCCGGGUUCGAUUCCCGGUCAAUGCA
Molecule: non-coding RNA, 71 nt
Organism: Daphnia carinata
Lineage: Eukaryota; Metazoa; Arthropoda; Branchiopoda; Diplostraca; Daphniidae
Source: the annotation of a RefSeq genome assembly